CCUACGGGUGGCAGCAGUGGGGGAUAUUGCACAAUGGGGGGAACCCUGAUGCAGCGACGCCGCGUGGGUGAAGGAGCGUUUCGGCGCGUAAAGCCCUAUCGGCAUGGAAGAAGAUGACGGUACCUGACCAAGAAGCCCCGGAUAACUACGUGCCAGCAGCCGCGGUAACACGUAGGGGGCAAGUGUCAUCCGGAUUUACUGGGUGUCAAGGGGGCGCAGACGGCAAUGCAAGCCAGGAGUGAAAGCCCGGGGCCGAACCCCGGGACUGCUCUUGGAACUGCAUGGCUGGAGUACAGGAGGGGCAGGCGGAAUUCCUAGUGUAGCGGUGAAAUGCGUAGAUAUUAGGAGGAACACCGGUGGCGAAGGCAGCUUACCAAACUACGACUGACGUUGAGGCACGAAAGCGUGGGGAGCAAACAGGAUUAGAUACCCUAGUAGUC
This 440-nucleotide ribosomal RNA is filed under the name uncultured bacterium. Its description in RNAcentral is "partial 16S ribosomal RNA". It matches the Rfam family "Bacterial small subunit ribosomal RNA", at positions 338 to 795 of the family's 1533-position model. The record is from RNAcentral.